This 73-nucleotide transfer RNA is filed under the name Methanosphaera stadtmanae. RNAcentral describes it as "tRNA-Asn". It matches the Rfam family "tRNA". From Rfam's summary of the family: Transfer RNA (tRNA) molecules are approximately 80 nucleotides in length. Their secondary structure includes four short double-helical elements and three loops (D, anti-codon, and T loops). RNAcentral also lists the same sequence under 5 other names. Lineage: Archaea; Methanobacteriati; Methanobacteriota; Methanobacteria; Methanobacteriales; Methanobacteriaceae. The record is from RNAcentral.
GCCGUCGUGGCUCAGUAGGUAGAGCGUUCGGCUGUUAACCGAUUGGUCGCAGGUUCAAGUCCUGCCGACGGCG